UCCGGUCGUUCGUUUCCGGCUACACACCACCCCCCUUUUCUCACUGAUAAACAACGGCAUCAGCACCACCAGUGGUGGCGGUGCUCAGUGGUGGCGGAGGAUCGAGAGGAAGAGAGAGAGAGAGAGAGCAGACGACGGAGACAUCAGACGGUGGCGCGACCACUGUAGCGGCGGUGACAGUAGCGCGACCACUGUAGCGGCGGAGUGGGUUCAGCUCCGAGUUGUUUUCAUCUCAGACCCGAUACAAUGGUGGUGUUAGCUCGGGUUGGUAACGGGACUGGUUCUGUUUAGAUUCAUGGCUCGGGUCUCGACAUCAGUUGGUUCAAGUUUCAGUUUUGUUCAUUCCGGUUCGGGUUCGUCUAGAAUCGAUUUUGCUUCAGUUCGUUCGGGUUCACGACACGAGAUAACUCGGUUCAGUUUGGAGCGCGACUCGGUUCAUUCAUUUCAGUUCCAGUUUGGUGUUUCGGUCAAACAGUCAACAUCGGUCAAAACAGUCAACUGUCGAGUCAAACGGUCAAACUCGGGUCAGCUUUAAUGCAAAAUGUGGGCGACCUCGGUGUUCCAUCCCCCAAAACUCGUACACUCGUCAAUACUUGGAUAAUCGGAAGA
Helianthus annuus (common sunflower) is the source of this 609-nucleotide long non-coding RNA. RefSeq lists it as uncharacterized. The transcript has 4 exons. NCBI's taxonomy places the organism in Eukaryota, Viridiplantae, Streptophyta, Magnoliopsida, Asterales, Asteraceae. The record is from RefSeq and is a predicted model, not a curated record.